This 434-nucleotide ribosomal RNA is filed under the name uncultured bacterium. RNAcentral's name for it is "partial 16S ribosomal RNA". It matches the Rfam family "Bacterial small subunit ribosomal RNA", at positions 29 to 507 of the family's 1533-position model. The record is from RNAcentral.
AGCGAACGCUGGCGGCAGGCCUAACACAUGCAAGUCGAACGAACCUUUCGGGGUUAGUGGCGGACGGGUGAGUAACACGUGGGAACGCGCCUUUAGGUUCGGAAUAACUCAGGGAAACUUGUGCUAAUACCGAAUGUGCCCUUCGGGGGAAAGAUUAAUCGCCUUUAGAGCGGCCCGCGUCUGAUUAGCUAGUUGGUUGAGGUAAUGGCUCACCAAGGCGACGAUCAGUAGCUGGUCUGAGAGGAUGAUCAGCCACAUUGGGACUGAGACACGGCCCAAACUCCUACGGGAGGCAGCAGUGGGGAAUCUUGCGCAAUGGGCGAAAGCCUGACGCAGCCAUGCCGCGUGAAUGAUGAAGGUCUUAGGAUUGUAAAAUUCUUUCACCGGGGACGAUAAUGACGGUACCCGGAGAAGAAGCCCCGGCUAACUUCGUG